CGAGACCUUCGGGUCUAGUGGCGCACGGGUGCGUAACGCGUGGGAAUCUGCCCUUAGGUACGGAAUAACUCAGAGAAAUUUGUGCUAAUACCGUAUGAUGUCGAAAGACCAAAGAUUUAUCGCCUAAGGAUGAGCCCGCGUAAGAUUAGCUUGUUGGUGAGGUAAAAGCUCACCAAGGCGACGAUCUUUAGCUGGUCUGAGAGGAUGAUCAGCCACACUGGGACUGAGACACGGCCCAGACUCCUACGGGAGGCAGCAGUGGGGAAUAUUGGACAAUGGGCGAAAGCCUGAUCCAGCAAUGCCGCGUGAGUGAUGAAGGCCUUAGGGUUGUAAAGCUCUUUUACCAGGGAUGAUAAUGACAGUACCUGGAGAAUAAGCUCCGGCUAACUCCGUGCCAGCAGCCGCGGUAAUACGGAGGGAGCUAGCGUUGUUCGGAAUUACUGGGCGUAAAGCGUACGUAGGCGGUUAUUCAAGUCAGAGGUGAAAGCCUGGAGCUCAACUCCAGAACUGCCUUUG
Molecule: ribosomal RNA, 516 nt
Filed under: uncultured Sphingomonadales bacterium
Lineage: Bacteria; Pseudomonadati; Pseudomonadota; Alphaproteobacteria; Sphingomonadales
Description: bacterial SSU rRNA
Rfam family: Bacterial small subunit ribosomal RNA
Source: RNAcentral